AUUGAACGCUGGCGGCAUGCCUUACACAUGCAAGUCGAACGGUAACGGGUCCUUCGGGAUGCCGACGAGUGGCGAACGGGUGAGUAAUAUAUCGGAACGUGCCCAGUAGUGGGGGAUAACUGCUCGAAAGAGCAGCUAAUACCGCAUACGACCUGAGGGUGAAAGGGGGGGAUCGCAAGACCUCUCGCUAUUGGAGCGGCCGAUAUCAGAUUAGCUAGUUGGUGGGGUAAAGGCCUACCAAGGCAACGAUCUGUAGUUGGUCUGAGAGGACGACCAGCCACACUGGGACUGAGACACGGCCCAGACUCCUACGGGAGGCAGCAGUGGGGAAUUGUGGACAAUGGGCGCAAGCCUGAUCCAGCAAUGCCGCGUGCAGGAGGAAGGCCUUCGGGUUGUAAACUGCUUUUGUCAGGGAAGAAAUCUUCUGGGCUAAUACCCCGGGAGGAUGACGGUACCUGAAGAAUAAGCACCGGCUAACUACGUGCCAGCAGCCGCCGUAA
RNAcentral lists this ribosomal RNA (500 nucleotides) under uncultured bacterium. Its description in RNAcentral is "partial 16S ribosomal RNA". It matches the Rfam family "Bacterial small subunit ribosomal RNA", at positions 30 to 523 of the family's 1533-position model. The record is from RNAcentral.